RNAcentral lists this long non-coding RNA (251 nucleotides) under Vigna radiata. RNAcentral's name for it is "long non-coding RNA (VRAD_LNC015882)". The record is from RNAcentral. Lineage: Eukaryota; Viridiplantae; Streptophyta; Magnoliopsida; Fabales; Fabaceae.
UAUAUGAUGAGUUGAACUUGUCUAGAUGAUUAUAACUAUUCUUAAUCUCAUUCUUUAAUGGUUAGGCAUUGAUUCAUNCUCAAAAACUUAGAUUUCAACAACUUAAAGACUCACUUUCAUACCUAACACUUAGAAACUGUUUUGGACCAGUUUAGGGACUCUAACAGGUCCCAAUUUACUUACCUAGACCAUCUCAAGUGACCAAUUUAGCUCUCAACCCCAAUUGCCUAUUUUGACUACCUCACUUCCCU